GGGGGUAUAGCUCAGGGGUAGAGCUUUUGACUGCAGAUGAAGAGGUCCCUGGUUCAAAUGUAGGUGUCUCCU
Molecule: transfer RNA, 72 nt
Filed under: Xenopus tropicalis (tropical clawed frog)
Lineage: Eukaryota; Metazoa; Chordata; Amphibia; Anura; Pipidae
Description: Xenopus (Silurana) tropicalis (western clawed frog) tRNA
Rfam family: tRNA
About the family: Transfer RNA (tRNA) molecules are approximately 80 nucleotides in length. Their secondary structure includes four short double-helical elements and three loops (D, anti-codon, and T loops).
Source: Rfam by way of RNAcentral